UAUUUCCUUUACUAUUAACCAUGAGAAAUUACAAUUUACCCCUGUGCACACUUCCAAAAGCUGACUAAAAAAAGAAAUAUCGUUCUCUUUCUUUUUGUACCUCCCCCAUGAAACCGGACCACCCAUCUGUUUCUUCAUCUACGAUCUCUCACCAAACUUAAAUCUCUCGAUGAUGGAUUUUCAAAGCUCAGAUGUCGAGCCCAUCACCGUCAAGAUUCUCCCUUUCUGGCCGCAGAUUUAUUGUAUCAAGACAUCUCGACUACUGACUCAUGAUCUCGCUUCUCCAUGGCGGCGACGAAGGGAAAGAGGCGGUUAAGGGUUUAGAUCUGGAAUUGCUUCCUCAUGGCGGUGUCCAAGAAAAAAGGUGUUUAUGGUUUUGAUUUGAUUUUGAAUUAUUGAUUUGAUUAUUUAGGGCUUUAUGAAGAGAAGCUGGUAUGUUGCGGCUCCACCGUCUGUACCAACAUUCUCAAGCAUCUCUACCACAAUUCUAGUUUGCAUCCUUUGGUUUGUCCAGAGUCGGAAUUCAAACCGUACCCGUCACAAUGAAAAAAUGGUUAGAUUUCUAAGGCUAGAUUCAAUUCUGAUGGUCUCCUCGUCACGUUCAAGUAUCUCGCCGCGGUGAUCUGAGAUGCCAAUAUGCUAAAGAAGAACGGAUCAUGAGGAGAUGAAUUCAACUGUACAAUGGGUUGCCUCUUUCUCCCAUGUCUACACAACCAUCUGCAUCUACUAGGAAGUUAUGUGAUAUUGAUACAUAGCAAUUUGAUAUCCUCAGAAUCCUCAUUUUUGUGUAUUUCAACAUUCUCUGUGCUUUUCUUUUUUGUUUGGAUACACUUUUUCAUCUGUCUAACAUACACUUCAUGUGAUAAACAACAAAUUUGUUUGUACA
Molecule: long non-coding RNA, 886 nt
Organism: Raphanus sativus (radish)
Lineage: Eukaryota; Viridiplantae; Streptophyta; Magnoliopsida; Brassicales; Brassicaceae
Exons: 2
Source: RefSeq, a predicted model, not a curated record